CACACGCAAUCAAUACAACUUUCAACAACGGAUCUCUUGGCUCUCGCAUCGAUGAAGAACGCAGCGAAAUGCGAUACGUAAUGUGAAUUGCAGAAUUCAGUGAAUCAUCGAAUCUUUGAACGCACCUUGCGCCCCUUGGCAUUCCGAGGGGCACACCCGUUUGAGUGUCGUGAAAUCAUCAAAAACCUUUUUCUGUUUACCGAAAAAGAUUUUUGGACUUGGAGGUUUAAUGCUUGCCUUUCACCUUUGAAAGUGAGCUCCUCUCAAAUGAAUUAGUGGGGUCCGCUUUGCUGGUCCUUGACGUGAUAAGAUGUUUCUACGUUUUGGAUUUGGCACUGUCCCUUUGGAUUCCUGCUCCUAACUGUCCAACGGACAAAUGAUGGUGCUCCGGUCGCCGCCGUCUACAUUGGCGGGGGAGGGCUGGACCCACGAAAGAAAACCUGACCUC
This 448-nucleotide ribosomal RNA is filed under the name uncultured fungus. RNAcentral describes it as "eukaryotic LSU rRNA". The stretch from base 17 to 170 matches the Rfam family "5.8S ribosomal RNA". Lineage: Eukaryota; Fungi. The record is from RNAcentral.